GGAAUCCAGAUUCUUUGUGUUGCAAUAACAGGUACUAAAUUCUAUACUUAUUUAUUUACUCUUAAAUUCUACAAUUAUUAUAAUGUAUGACAUCAAUAAAUAUAUUAUUAUAUAAAUGAAUCAAAAAAUUAUUAAAUUAUUUAAAAAAUUCCUAAACUAUUUUAAAGAAAUUCAAAUAAGCUUUUCUUAAUUUUUAUUACAUUCAAUCAAGCUAUUAUAUUUUUAUUUUGAACCAAAUAAACCCUUCUAAAUAAUAGUUAACUAAUGUUAUUAGUUCAAAUGUCACUUAUUAUUUUAUACUUAUGUGACAUUGAUAUGAUGCUGACAAGGAGGAUGAAAAUACCACGUAACCAUGUCAUAAUGCCAUAUACUAUGACAUGUCAACAUAAUAUAUCAAUGUCUUGUGACUUAAAAUAACAAAUGGUAUUUUAAUUAAUAACAGUUAGUUAUCCAUUAGUUAUAAUAGCUUAUUUGAUUCAAAAUAAAUGUUUAAGAGCUUGAUCAUACACAAUAAAAGAAUAAGAGUUUAUUUAAAAUUUUCUAAAUAGCUCAGGAAAUUUUUUUAAGUAUUAUGCAUGUAUGUGUGUGUGUGUGUAUGUGUAUAUACCAGUGUGAAAUUAAUUAAAUUUACACCUUUUCAUAUUUUUUAUAAGAUUUCUAUUUUGUUAAUUUAACCGUUGUAUUCCAUAUGUACUCAAUUUACAUAGAUCAUGCAUAAAAAAUUUUAAAUCAAUUGAAAAUAUCUAAUUAUUUGUAUAAUAAUAAUAAAAUUUUAACCGUUAAAUAUAUAUUUAAAAAACAAUAUUCUCUACCAAUGUGAUAUGGAUAUGGCACUGACUUGAAACUUU
RNAcentral lists this long non-coding RNA (848 nucleotides) under Theobroma cacao (cacao). RNAcentral's name for it is "long non-coding RNA (TCAC_LNC004317)". The record is from RNAcentral. Lineage: Eukaryota; Viridiplantae; Streptophyta; Magnoliopsida; Malvales; Malvaceae.